UUGUGAGCAGGUCACGUUCAUUAAACGGGUUUCUCCGUGAAUGCUUUCACUGCGGCUCUCGGCAACGUGUUGGACUUUAGUGCUCCUCUGCUUGACGCGCGUGUGUGUGUCUGUGUGUUUCACUUAGUGGACUUAUACUUGCAUUGCGUUACCACUGGACCCCUCAGCGUAGAAAGGCCCAAGGGUGCUGCGCUGAUGUUUGACUGAGAUAAAGGCAGAAAGCACCUGGCACCGUCGCCUCGAGCUGCUCAGGAAUAAAAAGGGAAUUCCCACCACUUCCCGACGGCUGCUGCCGCACUCGUCUUCAGGACAUCAUCGAGAAGGCAAAGAAUUAACGGUUUUAUUUUGUAUUAAUUCAAUAUGACCGAACUAUUACGUCACCAUUCCUGUAUGUUUUGUGUUUUUAUUUUUAGGUGUUACACCGUGGAAGAGGAAGUAUUCUGAUCUUUGAAAAUAAUUAAAUGUACUCCAUUACAAAUAAAACUCAGCAGAAUACAUUUGUAAAAGACUUUGCAGAAUUUGCAGAAACAUCAACUGAAAUAGCAACCAUCAUAUUCAUGCCGGUUUAUAGACUGUAGAUAAAAAGUGGAGCUAGUUGUCGCUUAGAGAAGCGUCAUUUCUCAUAGAUUCUAAGGGAGCAGAGGCGUCGCCCCCUGCUGGUCACUACAGAGAAUGCAGCUUUAAGACAUGAAAUCUCCCUCUGACAUGAGGCAAAGUAGAAGCUUUAAAGCUGAGGUAGGUCAUUAUAUUAAGGUUAUUUAUUGUUUCAUUGUGUACUGGUUUGUGUCUUUAGCGCAGAUCAUUUAAAAAUACAGCAAACUCAUAGUUUCUCAACAUGACCAAUUUAAACUUUAAGGAUCACGAAAAGGAAAUAAGUUCAACCGCAAAGAGCCCGAAGAACUUGACCUGCUGAAGGAAAUAGAUGAAUCACUUUGGGGGAUUUUUUCUAGAUCUGUUUCCUCUCUUUUAUCCUGCUUAAAAAAUGGAAAGUUUGUAAUGAUUGAAAGGAUCUUCAACCCCUCCGCAAAAAAGCAGCGUUCAUAUUUGAAUAAAUGAGGUAAACAUUAACCUGAACAAUGAACCCGGGGGAACUUCCCCAGGGAGCCUCGUGAUGGACUUCUGCUCGUUGGCGUCAACUCACAAACUCGCUCCUGUGAGGGAAGGAGAGCGCAAUGACAGAGCGCAUGCUGCCCGGCCCUCGCCCGCCCUCGCCCUCCCUCGCCCACCCUCGCUCGCUGUUUGCCGUUUAUUGAGCGGGGCAGCUGUGUAAGCACGCUGCACAGCUUCUUUUUCUUCUCUUUAAAAAGUGAUUUUUUUCAGGCCGUCCGAGCUGUGAAAGCUGGGUCCUCUGCACAGCACACGUCUCCCUACUGACACGCAACAAACACGCCUGUGUGUGCUCUGUGUGCGUGUGUGAGACAAGGGGAGAGAGAGAGAGUGUCAGUAAGUGAAAGGUGAAAUUGAAGCUGUAACCCCCCCGGAGAAGAUUUAUUUGCUCUGCAGGUCAAGGCCUGUUUUUUGGGCCCUUUAAGGCUCGGCGUGUACACACAGGUCAAGAUGGAGGAGCGGCGCAGCCUGGCAAGCACGCACACACACACACACACACACACACACACACACACACACACACACACACACACACACACACAACCUUCCUGCCACAAUCCUUCCCCUUUCAGCCCAACCAACCCCCUACCAUCCCCUCUGUACCGGACUAUCUGCUACUGCUACGACGACAUUCCUUCAUUCACUGCAGCGUUUGGCCUUAAUGGCAGAUUUGCAUAACACACACACACACACACACUUGUCGGACGGGGAGCUUGAAGCAGGAGCCAGGAAGAAGAAACACUCAACACAUAAGUGGAGGUCGUGACCUCUGGGUCACAGCUGCAGACCCGUUGGUUUCAGUCGUGUUUCGAGUCACCUGAGGUCGUCGGUCCAAUAUUCAUUCUCUUUUUGCUCCGUUUCUGGUCUCCAUCAGCUCCUAUAAGGUGGUGAGACUGAUGUGAAACACUAAAGUUCUAUAUUUAAUGAAAAUAAAAAAGUUUCACUAUGAUUGUCCAGUUUCUCUUUACAAAUCUCUCUCUUA
Molecule: long non-coding RNA, 2089 nt
Organism: Gasterosteus aculeatus aculeatus (three-spined stickleback)
Lineage: Eukaryota; Metazoa; Chordata; Actinopteri; Perciformes; Gasterosteidae
Source: Ensembl